RNAcentral lists this long non-coding RNA (699 nucleotides) under Ovis aries (sheep). RNAcentral's name for it is "lncRNA (ENSOARG00000026148.1)". Lineage: Eukaryota; Metazoa; Chordata; Mammalia; Artiodactyla; Bovidae. The record is from RNAcentral.
CUUCAUAGUAAUUCGGUAUUCAUAGAAUGCAUAAGAACGAGGGCAAACUCAUUUUUAAACGAUCUUGACAAGGAUGGGAAAGACCUGGGAGCAAGCCUGAUCCUGAUUGUAAUUGCACUGAGAAGGGGCAAUACAGGAAGUGACGCGCAGGAUGUGAACCUCCCUAUCAGCCUGGAAGAGCAGCAGCAAGGAGCAUCAGGAGUGACUCGGAAUCAGCUCCGCGAGGGGCUGAGGGUGCUGCCGCCAGUCAUCAGGCUCUCAGAGACCUCUUUCCAGCUCUGCACCGAGCAGUUCUUUUUAUCUGGAGUCUUGUUAAGCAUCUUCUCACUCCACCCAAGGAGCCAAAGAAUAAUUCCUGUGGCAUUCUGCAUUCCUCCAUUUAGUCCCUCUUGGAAAUCCACCACCAAGCUUGGGGACUUCACCCCAGUGAAAUUGUAAGCCUUGUUAGGUUUUCAUUUAAGACUCUUGCUAUAGCAUGGGUAGCUGUGAUUGCUGAGUCAACUGUCUAUGGCUACCAGUUUCACCAAGAUUGUAACAGCAUUUUUAUUUUCCAUGCAACAAAAAAAGCUUUGUUAGUAAAAUCUUAGGAUGGGGAACACGUGUACACCUGUGGCAGAUUCAUGUUGAUGUAUGGCAAAACCAAUACAAUAUUGUAAAGUAAUUAGCCUCCAAUUAAAAUAAAUAAAUUUAAAUUAAAUU